CCUACGGGUGGCAGCAGUGGGGAAUUUUGCGCAAUGGGGGAAACCCUGACGCAGCAACGCCGCGUGGAGGAUGAAGUCCCUUGGGACGUAAACUCCUUUCGACCGGGACGAAUAUUGACGGUACCGGUGGAAGAAGCCCCGGCUAACUUCGUGCCAGCAGCCGCGGUAAUACGAGGGGGGCGAGCGUUGUUCGGAAUUACUGGGCGUAAAGCGCACGCAGGCGGUCUGCUAAGUUUGGAGUGACAGUUGGGGGCUCAACUCCCAAAGUGCUUCGAAAACUGACAGACUUGAGGGCUUCAGAGGGACACGGAAUUCCGGGUGGAGUGGUGAAAUGCGUAGAGAUCCGGAGGAACACCGAAGGCGAAGGCAGUGUCCUGGGGAGUACCUGACGCUCAGGUGCGAAAGCCAGGGGAGCGAACGGGAUUAGAUACCCGAGUAGU
RNAcentral lists this ribosomal RNA (440 nucleotides) under uncultured bacterium. Its description in RNAcentral is "bacterial SSU rRNA". It matches the Rfam family "Bacterial small subunit ribosomal RNA", at positions 338 to 794 of the family's 1533-position model. The record is from RNAcentral.